UUUAUUCAUGAGUGAUUUUGAAGUCAGUUUGAAAGCUAAAAUUUCAUUUGAAAGGUAAAAUUGAAAAUAGGGUAAUCUUGUAUUUAUGAUUUCUAUGUAUGCUACGUUUUUGGUUUUUUUUUUUUUCCUUUUUUUUUCCCCCAAAAUUAAGAAAAACACUUGAAAUGGCUUAAACCUGAUUUGACUUACUGCUUCUGUACCUCAGCUGGUAUGUCAUUUUAUUAUGAAACCUUCCUAAGAGAUUUAAAAGCUAUUCAUAGCUUAUUUAUACUUAGAUAGAAGAGAGUAGCCAUAACCUUACUGAUAAUAAUCGAUCUUGUGGUCAUGUAUUGAGUAUCUGAUUUUUUCUUUACCAGAGCGGGCAUUACCUGGGACUUGACCUGCUUUUAACUGAAGCUACUAGCAUAGCUGCUCCAAAGAGAUCUAAACCAAGGAGCAGAGCUGAUGUCUGUGGGAUGUGAAAUUAAAAGCCAUGUGACCAUAGGCAACAAGCUAACAGGAGAUAUGGGAUUAUAUUUUAGACCUAGGUGAUCAAAUUUUAGGUCUGUUUCAAGUAAUCUUCCUAUGACUAAGCACUUAACCCAAACUACUGAAAUGCCUUGGUGCAGAUUUGAUGAUUCUUUGGGCUUUGUGGUCAUGGUAUCGUUGUUAGUCUUAAAGCAGUCUCUCCAAGCUCUUCUAUCUUGUUUGAACAGUGACUGCAAGUUAAGGGGCACUUCCAGGAACUCUUUUUAGUCUGCUCUUGACCAUUUUUUUUCUUUCCACCUCUUACAGGUGACACUGUAGGAAAGCACUUUAAGGAAUGGAGAACCAGCACAGCAGUGGGUAGGACAUUGUUCUCAGCUGUGAAGUGCAGAGCAGGUAUGCUGCAUGAAGUGGAGACACUCCUUCCUUUACCUGUUGGGGACAGGAUGUAUCCUCUUCCCUUGGGAGGCAGGUGCAGCUCUGCAUCCCAAACCAGGGCCAAAUUCUUCCUCAGAAGCCUACAUGAGAGGUUACUCUGCUGUAGUUCUCAUUAAGCUUCACUCACUGUGUGCACAGCAGCUGAAUGCUGCUUUCAGUCCAUGUCCUGCCUCCCACCCAGACCAGCCCCAUGCUGGCUAGGGGAUGCAGGAUUGAUACCACGGGGCAGCAGUGGUCAGCACACAACAAGGGAAACACGGCCUGACUCAUCCACUGGAAUAUUGCUCAAGGAAAGGAGUUAUGGCAUAACAAAACUUAUAAAUACCUGAUUUGUUUUGCUUUUUGAAUAAGGGUUACCACCCUUACCAGGUGGCAAUAGCAAAUGCCAUGGAGCUCAUACAGCUUGUCACCAGUAGAGAAGUCCCACACCCCCCAUGAAUACAAGUUUCAGAGAGCACACUUCCAGCUUGAUCACAAAGAUUUGAUCUUAAAUUAAGCUCCCAACUUAACGGAGGGUAACUGGGGAUGUUAUUCCUAUUUUUAAAAUGUUACAGACGUUGCAAGGAAUGAGGGACAAGGGAUAGGUGUACAGGGCUCAGAUGCCCCAUCAGUGUCAGGGGGCUGCAGGGCUGUUUGAGACAAGGCAAGGACUGCCCCAUGCUGGACACAGACAGUUCGAGCCAACUCCAAUGGCCCCAGCACAGGGCAGGGUUGGGCCCAGCAGCUGCCCUGGGGUGAGGGCAGAAUGGGAGAGUGAGAGCGCAGCUGGGAGGGAAUUUGGGCUGAGCCAAGGUUAACCCACAGCAACAGACCCACAAGUUUUAAGACAGUUCCUAAGUAAAGGUACUUAGAAGAUGUACGUAUAGUCUGAAAGAUGCACAGAAAGAGCAUUAAUCGAAAGACUGACAGAGCAAGGACCAACAAAUGAGUUUAGGGUACUCUACAGAUACAGAGUCCAAUGCAAUAAUGGCUGCACUGCAUUAAUAACUGCAUGAAGCAACCACACAUAUGGAAAGCAAAAAAAUAAGGCAAGUUAGCUAACAAACUUACGAAAAAGCAGAGAGGUGCUUCUGAAGGAGACAAUCCCAUGGAAAGGCCAAGGGUUGUUCCCUUUUAUGGUCAGCUUUCUCUGCAUUUUUGUAAACUGCAUUUGAUUAUAACAGAAGAUAACUGAUGCAGAUUAUACAUUCCUAAUGAAAAUAACAAGGCAUCAAAUACUAGCUACUUGAUUAAGCAAAAGAAUGGUAAAACCAUGUAAUUUUCUUCAACCAUUAUUCUUAUAAUUCUAGCAUCUACCUGAUGCUAGACAUUUUCAGUUAUGGCCUCCAAUGUCAAACUUUCACUUACACUUUCCACAUUUCUCAAUUUUUUUUAAAUAUUUUUAAGGUAUGUUUGCACCAUUUAAAGAAAAAUGUUGAAGAUAUUGAAUUUGUCUCGAAUAAAUAAUCUAAAUUCUCACUUAAAAUUGAU
This is a long non-coding RNA of Gallus gallus (chicken), 2373 nucleotides long. Lineage: Eukaryota; Metazoa; Chordata; Aves; Galliformes; Phasianidae. The record is from Ensembl.